AUUGAACGCUGGCGGCAUGCUUUACACAUGCAAGUCGAACGGUAACAGGCCUUCGGGUGCUGACGAGUGGCGAACGGGUGAGUAAUGCAUCGGAACGUACCCAGAGGUGGGGGAUAACGCCGCGAAAGCUGUGCUAAUACCGCAUGUGAUCUGAGGAUGAAAGCGGGGGACCGAGCAGCAAUGCUUGGCCUCGCGCCUUUGUAGCGGCCGAUGCCGGAUUAGGUAGUUGGUGGGGUAAAGGCCUACCAAGGCGACGAUCCGUAGCUGGUCUGAGAGGACGACCAGCCACACUGGGACUGAGACACGGCCCAGACUCCUACGGGAGGCAGCAGUGGGGAAUUUUGGACAAUGGGCGCAAGCCUGAUCCAGCAAUGCCGCGUGCGGGAAGAAGGCCUUCGGGUUGUAAACCGCUUUUGGAAGGAACGAAACGGUGUUGGUUAAUACCGGGCGCUAAUGACGGUACCUGAAGAAUAAGCACCGGCUAACUACGUG
This 492-nucleotide ribosomal RNA is filed under the name uncultured bacterium. Its description in RNAcentral is "partial 16S ribosomal RNA". It matches the Rfam family "Bacterial small subunit ribosomal RNA", at positions 29 to 507 of the family's 1533-position model. The record is from RNAcentral.